UAUCAACGCUGGCGGCGUGCCUCAGACAUGCAAGUCGAACGAUUAGAGCUCUCUUCGGAGAGUGCAUAGAGUGGCGCACGGGUGAGUAACACGUAAGUAAUCUACCUUCGAGUGGGGAAUAACGUCCGGAAACGGACGCUAAUACCGCAUAACGCAGCGGCAUCGCAAGAUGACAGUUGUUAAAGAUUUAUCGCUUGAAGAGGAGCUUGCGGCAGAUUAGCUUGUUGGUAAGGUAACGGCUUACCAAGGCUACGAUCUGUAACCGGUCUAAGAGGACGGUCGGUCACACUGACACUGAAUAACGGGUCAGACUCCUACGGGAGGCAGCAGUCGGGAAUUUUGGGCAAUGGGGGAAACCCUGACCCAGCAACGCCGCGUGAAGGAUGAAGUA
Molecule: ribosomal RNA, 391 nt
Filed under: uncultured bacterium
Lineage: Bacteria
Description: bacterial SSU rRNA
Rfam family: Bacterial small subunit ribosomal RNA
Source: RNAcentral